GGGGGAGGCGGGGGGCAGCUCAUCAUUUGACCAACAGGAAUAUGAUACAACAUUUACAGGAAACAUCAUCUGGCUGUUCUCCAAUGGAGGCAGAACUGUGUGUCAUGUGGCUCAGCGCAGCAACAAGCGGCUCAUUGUGACACUCCGGUCCAUUCACAGAAACAGCAUUCUGGGAGUCCACACUUCAACCCUGUUGGAGUUGGGGAGAAAUAGGUUGAAAAAGAAAGACAAAGAAAGAAAGAUAGAAAGAAAGAGAGAUAAAAAGACAGUAAUUUUUUUAGUUGGGCCAGAUAUUGAUCUGUUGGUGUACUGACCGAUCUCUCAACACAGAGGAAACCUUUAACAGGGAUUGACCUGAUCAGAGCAUUUAUCUCCAACUCACUGAACUCUCACACAGUCGUGUGUCUUAAGGAUUAUAGCAGGGCGUAAUUUAGGCUACUACAUUUGUAAUUACACACAUAUACACACACAUACACAUACACACACACACACACGGUGAUAUCAUGAUUCCCAACAAAUAUUUAAGAAUCUAUUAUAUUCUGUUGCAUAUAGAUAACAGACUAUGUUUCUGAUUAUAAUAACAUAGAAGCAAGGAGCCUUUAUUCUGUGGGCCAGACGGUUCUGUCUCUGCUUUCGUUGUGUUCCAUCAGAGUCCAGUUAAUAUGUCAUCCUGAGCAGGAGUAUAAUCACAGUGAAGUUGUGCUUUUAUGGUCUACAUAAACAGAUCUGGAGAGACGUAUGAAAAUGUAUCAUAAAAUACAGCUGACCCAAUAUCUAGAUGUGUUGUUAUAGUGACCACACAUACACGUAUGCAAACACACACACACACACGGCCCUGAUACAAAACCAGGCUUCCACUGGAUGCUUCUAACAUUGCCCGCUGUGAUGCAGUCUCCAUGGUGACGGUCGGUCGUUUCCUGGGUAACCCCAGCCACGGUUGCCAUGGCAGCGCUGUUUCCUGGGUUACGUUCCAGAUGGCCUGGGAGUCAGACAGAAGAUUGUCAUCUCUCCUCUCCUCUGGAGUCUGAACACCUCUUUACACAACACUCACGUACCCACAGAUGACACAGUCUUUGGUUAGCCUGUCAGUGAUACCAAACAAAGUGUUGCCAAGGUGUCCAGGGAGAAAGGGGCUGGCGUUUUCAGAACUGCUUUGGAGAGAACAGUGAAACUCUAUCGGAACGGUUUUCUGCUAACACCAGAUCUUAAAUAAAACAUUUAGUGAGAUGGAGCAAACUAAUAUCACGACAGAGGCUAAAGCUGUUCAACCAACCAUUAUCAUGACAGAGGCUAAAGAUGUUCAACCAACCAUUAUCAUGACAGAGGCUAAAGCUGUUCAACCAACCAAUAUCAUGACAGAGGCUAAAGCUGUUCAACCAACCAAUAUCAUGACAGAGGCUAAAGCUGUUCAACCAAUCAAUAUCAUGACAGAGGCACAAGCUGUUCAAACAACCAAUGUCAUGACAGAGGCUAAAGCUGUUCAACCAACCAUUAUCAUGACAGAGGCUAAAGCUGUUCAACCAACCAAUAUCAAUGCAGAGGCACAAGCUGUUCAACCAACUAAUAUUGUGACAGAAACUAAAGCUGUUCAAUCAACCAAUAUGAUCACAGAGUCUGAGGCUGUUAAACCAACCAAUAGGAUCACAGAGGCUAAAGCUGUUAAACCAACCAAACUCAUAACAGAGUCUGAGGCUGUUAAACCAACUAAUAUGAUCACAGGGUCUGAGGCUGUUCAACCAACCAAUAUGAUCACACAAUCUGAGUCUGUUCAACCAACCAAAAACAUCAGAGUCUGAGGCUGUUCAACCAACCCAGCAAAUGGAAAGGAGUUCAGAGGGAGUGCCCAAAUCAAGAAGUCACAUCACCCAGAUGCUCACAGACAGACAGACAGGCAGAGAGACAGACAGACAGAGACAGACAGACAGACAAACUGACAUCAUCCAUUUUCACUGUCUGUCUGUCUGUGGGUCCGGCUGGCAUUGUUCUGACCCUGUUGAUGGGUUAGAACCAAGAUUCACUCUGACCACCUGACACUGCUCUUCAACUACCUAACAUACAUCCAACACGCACGGGGAACUCUGACUCCUCCCAGGGGACGGUCAGCACCAGAACUCUGACUCCUCCCAGGGGACGGUCAGCACCAGAACUCUGACUCCUCCCAGGGGUCUCUCAGCACCAGAACUCUACAGGACGUCACCAGAAAAGGAGCGAAGUUUGAGCCAUAAGAUUCAGCCAUAACACCCUGGAGUCAACACAACAUGAAUUAGGAUACAACCAGGAACCAACCAAGAAUGAACCAGGAACCAAUGAGCAACCGACUGGGUGUAAACUAAGAUCCAACCAGGAAAUAACCAAGAAGAAACCAGGAAUGGACAAAGAGAGACUGAAACAGUGUUAUCCACAGAAGCAGAACUCAUACAUUGGACAGUCUAAUUCAGAGAAAGAUUCUGUCUGGUGGGAAGACUAGGUGGUAUGUUCUCCAUAUCUGAAUUCUGCUUCGUUUUGUGUCCUAUUUAUUCAACCUCUGUGCACCAAUCAGCCGUUAGUGAAAUCACCUGGUGGUGUUAACCAAUCGGGAACCGCAAUGUUUUGAAGAACUGUUAAACCACAAGCCUUCGUUAGUUGUGUACUUUCUUUGUAACUAACAUUUGACCACACACACACGCAUACAUCUGAACGGUGUGUGGUUUGCUGCAGUUACCUGACACACACACACACACACACACACAGAAGAGAGCUUAAUGACACUUCCUAUAAAUGGGAAUGCUUGGGGAGUGAUAAGUGGUGCUGAAUGGAGCUGUGUUGAGUUGGUAGUGUUGAGUGAAAAUGUGCUGACUGAAAAACAUGUUGAGUUGGGAGUGUUGAGUGAAAAUAUGUUGAGUGGAUCUGUGUAGAGUGAAACCAUUUUGAGGUGGGAGUGUGGAGUGGAGUUGUGUUGAGUGAAGCCAUGUUGAGGUGGGAGUGUUGAGUGGGACCGUGUUCAGUUGGGAGUGUUGAGUGGGAGCGUGUCACGGUCUUUGUCAUAUUGGCAUAUUACAGUACUUGUUUUAUUGCGCUGUGCUGUCUACAACAUAAAUAUUGAAACCAACUCUGUGCGACUUGUCAUUGUUCUGUUUAACAGCGUUGAGGUGCAGAGCACAAAAC
Molecule: long non-coding RNA, 3144 nt
Organism: Esox lucius (northern pike)
Lineage: Eukaryota; Metazoa; Chordata; Actinopteri; Esociformes; Esocidae
Source: Ensembl